GCUAGCAAACACAAUACAAAUAAACCUCACUCAGCUUCUAGCACUUGUCCAGUUGACUAGAUUUUUGUGUAACUAGAUUUUGUGUAAAUUUUAUGGGAAUGUUGAAGUCUUUUCUGUAACAGAACACGUCGACUGCUUUGGGUUCCAGGAACUUGAUAUCCGGACUAGUUUUCUGAAAACCAAUCGGCGGUCGAUAAAUAACAUUCUAGUACCUAUUUCUGUGAGGAAGUUCAAAUAAACUCUCUGUCAAAAUGUGCUGCGGCCCUUGCUACUCGUGUUGCGGACCCUGCGGAGGUUGCUGUGGACCUUGCGGUGGUUGCUGCGGACCCUGCGGUGGUUGCUACGGAGGGUGCUAUGGCUGUUGUGGACCUUGCGGAGGGUGCUGCGGAGGCUGCUGCGGUGGCUGUGGUCCCUGCUGUUAGACCCGUCUUCAGAACGAAAUCUAGGCACUAACUUUUGUUACAAAAAGUCACGGCAAACCCUAUGUACAUAUUUGUUUAUCAAAUUAUAUAGUAAUAGAAAUAUAUAAAUA
This is a long non-coding RNA of Drosophila novamexicana, 532 nucleotides long. RefSeq lists it as uncharacterized. The record is from RefSeq and is a predicted model, not a curated record. Lineage: Eukaryota; Metazoa; Arthropoda; Insecta; Diptera; Drosophilidae. The transcript has 3 exons.